RNAcentral lists this long non-coding RNA (3539 nucleotides) under Sus scrofa (pig). Its description in RNAcentral is "lncRNA (ENSSSCG00040074931.1)". The record is from RNAcentral. Lineage: Eukaryota; Metazoa; Chordata; Mammalia; Artiodactyla; Suidae.
CUCUCGGCCUCCCGCCGCCUAGGCGCCCGCGAGGGCCCUUCAGGGCUCCCGGCCCUCCUGGAGUGGAGUGAGCGGACGGUUCCCUACCCACCCUCCGAGGACGCCCCCAACCCAGGUUGCAGCCCUCAGCACAGUGUGCCGCGCCUCCAUUUCCAAAUCCGCAGCCUCCGUGACGUGUCCAUACAGAAAGAAUUGACUGGAAGUCUGGAACUGUCAGAAAAUAACUCAAGGCAUAGUUCAGUUGUGAGUUGCAAAAAAUGUUGUCAGAAUCCCUGUCCCCACUCCCUCCUCAGGAAAUCUGACACAAGCUGAACAUGAGCUUUGAUGGCUGUCACCAUGGGAAAAGUCAGGAUGUCAUGUGUGGGAGAACCUGGAAGUAUUGAAUGGUAAAAUGGAUACAGUUGUACAAGAACCCAGCUGACAGCUGGUCAGAUUAUGAAGAUGUGUCAAAUACAGUCCUUACCUUUGAUGAACUUAACAGUCAAAUGUAAGAGACACGCUCACGUACCCAAAUCAUGGUACCAAUUAUAAAAGAUAUUUGAAGAUGCCUUCAGUGCUAUAAGGGUGUCCACAGAGCCAGGGGAGGGAAGGUGGUUGUUUGUUAACAGUUUUAUUGAGAUAAAAUGUAUAUGUGAUAAAAUAUGCGCAUUGGACAUGCACAUUUGAAUGAUUUUUUAGUAAAUUUCCACGAUUGUACACUCAUCACCACAAUCCAGUUUUAGAACAGCAGUAAAUCUCCCUCUUUACCCCCAGUCUCAGAUGCCCAUUGAUCUGCUCUAUCAUCACAGCCUUGCCUCUAGGGCUAAUUUGACCUCACUGCUGAGACAGUGCCCUUCUGAGGACUUUAACAGCACUGAUGGGAACAUGAACUAUUCUUAGCCCUGGACAGAUAAUCCUCUAGGGAUUUUUCUUCCUGCCUCUUUCCUAGGGCUCUUUCCUCUGCCUCGGUAGUUUCCUCACACUCAGCCUAAAUCUCCAGAGGGACUCUGAAAAUCUCUGAGCACAAUGGUCUCUCUCUGGGCAGCUCGCUCUUCUCUGAUGCUUCAUCCCAUAAAUUUUAGUUCCUUUGUUUUCAAGCUCCCAGCUCUGGCUCCUCAACUCAGUGACACUACUGGGCUCAAUUUGUGUUCCUCCUCCCUACGUUGUGGCCUGUGAGCUGGGGUUACUGCUGGGCUUUCAACACAUUUGUUCCCUUAUCUCAGGGUUUGCUGUCCUGCGCUGCCUGUUGUCCACUCUCUGAAAACACAUUGUUUUAUACGUUUUAUCCAGUUUUCUAGCUGCUUAAAGUGAGAGGGUAAGUCUAGCCUCUAUUAUACCAUUAAGACUAGGAGAGCAAGUUCUAAUAUUAAGGGUAUUUUUAAAUUAUUCCCAUGUGCCACCUACCUAUGGCCAGUUCAAUACAAUAGAAUUAAUUCUCAAUAAAUUAGCAGAGGAUUAAUCCAGUUUGAGAUUAAACAUGGAAAAUAUAGAUAUACAUUCCCAACACAUAUAUAUGUGUAUAAAUACUUAAAAAGCAUAAAAAUAAAGGUGAAUCAAUGAAAACCUCUGUAUAUUGUUAUGAACUACAGUAUCUGCCACAAUAUGUCAACCUAGUAACAACCCAUCGCUUUCCAAUUUGCAAGGAGAUAAAUGUCUUCUUAAAUUUCAUAUGGAUAAGGGGUCAAAUGAUUAGUUUUUAGGGUUUUUUUUUAAUGAAUUUAUUUUGUAAACUUUUGCAUGAGAUUUGUAGGGUUGGCUAGGAGAGAAGAGAAUGGCGGUAAAAGAACACUGUGCCACAGCCAACAUCCUACAUGAUGUAUUUAAUGGCAUGCUUUCAUCCAGGCAACUGUAUUUGUAGUCUUGAAAUAUUUUUUUGGCCAUGCUCACAGGAUGUUGAAGUUCCCAGGCCUGGUAUCGAACCCAUGCCACAGCAGUGACCCAAGCCACCACAGUGACAAUGCUAGAUCCUUAACAGCUGAGCCACCAGGGAACUCCAUUGCAAUAUUUUUGAAUGAUAAUUACAGACUGAUAAAUGUGUUCUUUUAUAAGGAUCCUAUGCUUCCUAGUGGCAGAGAUCCCCACCCAAACUAGCUAUUCAAAAAAGGGGGGGGGACUUAAAAAGCUAGCUAUUGACAUCAUCCUUACAAAUGUUUUCUCAGGUAAGAUUCCCAAGGCAACAGAAAUGAAAGCAAAAAUAAACCAAUGGGAGUUCCUGUCAUGGCUGUUAAUGAAUCUGACUAGGAACCAUGAGGUUGUGGGUUCGACCCCUUGCCUUGCUCAGUGGGUUAAGGAUCCAGUGUUGCCGUGAGCUGUGGUGUAGGUUGCAGACAUGGCUUGGAUCUGGUGUUGCUGUUGCUCUGGCAUAGGCCAGCGACUAUAGCUCCGAUUAGACCCCUACNAAUAAACCAAUGGGACCUAAUCAAACUGACAAGCUUUUGCACAGCAAAGGAAACCAUAAAGAAAAAAAUAAGAAGGCAACCUACAGAAUGGGAGAAAAUAGUUUCAAGCAAUUCGGCUGACAAGGGCUUAUUAAUCUCUAAAAUAUACAAACGACUUAUAUAACUCAACAGCAAAAAAAACCAACAACCCAGUUGAAAAAUGGACAAAAGACCUGAAUAGACAUUUUUCCAAAGAAGAUAUAUAGAUGGCCAACAAGCACAUGAAAAAAUUCUCAACAUCACUGAUUAUUAAAGAAAUACAAAUCAAAACUACUAUAAGGUACCACCUCACACCUGUCAGAAUGGCCAUCAUUAAUAAGUCCAUAAAUAACAAAUGCUGGAGAGGGUGUGGAGAAAAGGGAACACUCAUGCACUGUUGGUGGGAAUGUAAAUCAGUACAACCACUAUGGAAAACAGUAUGGAGGUAACUUAGAAAACUAUACAUAGAACUACCAUAUGACCCAGCAAUCCCACUCUUGGAUAUAUAUCCAGACAAAACUUUUCUUGAAAAAGAUGCAUGUACCCAUAUGAUCAUUGCAGCACUAUUCACAAUAGCCAAGAUAUGGAAACAAACUAAAUGUCUAUCCACAGAUGAGUGGAUUAAGAAGAUGAGGAUAUACAUAAUGGAAUACUACUCAGCCAUAAAAAAUAACAAAAUAAUGCCAUUUGCAGCAACAUGGAUGGAACUAGAGACUCUCAUAUUAAGUGAAGUAAGUCAGAAAGAAGAAGAAAAAUACCAUAUGAAAUCACUUAUAUCUGGAAUCUAAUAUAUGGCACAAAUAAACCUUUCCACAGCAAAGAAAUUCAUGGACUUGGAGAACAGACUUGUGGUUGCCUAGGGGGAGGGGGAGGGAGUAGGGUGGGCUGGGAAUCUGAGGUUAAUAAAUGCAAAUUAUUGCCUUUGGAAUGGAUAAGCAAUGAGACCUGGCUGUAUAGCACUGGAAACUAUAUCUAGUCACUUGUGAUGAAACAUGAUGUGAAAAAAACAUGUGUGAGAACAUGAUGUGAGAAAAAGAAUGUAUAUAUGUAUGUGUGACUAGGUCACUUUGCUGUACAGUAGAAAAUUGACAGAACUUGUAAACCAAUUAUAAUGGAAAAAAUAAAAAUCAUUAAAAAAAAAAA